UCUGUAGCAAUACAGAUGGCGCACGGCGCACGGGUGCGUAACACGUGGGCAAUCUGCCCUUCGAUGGGGAAUAUCUUCGGGAAACCGAAGCGAAUUCCGCAUAACAUUCCUUGGACUUCGGUUCGAGGACUCAAAGCCGUAAGGCGUCGAAGGAGGAGCCCGCGCACGAUUAGCUAGUUGGUAGGGUAACGGCCUACCAAGGCUUUGAUCGUUAGCUGGUCUGAGAGGAUGGCCAGCCACACUGGAACUGAGACACGGUCCAGACUCCUACGGGAGGCAGCAGUGGGGAAUCUUGCACAAUGGGCGAAAGCCUGAUGCAGCGACGCCGCGUGGGGGAUGAAGCAUCUCGGUGUGUAAACCCCUUUCGACCCGGAAGAAUGCCUCGCAAGAGGACUGACGGUACGGGUAUAAGAAGCCCCGGCUAACUACGUGCCAGCAGCCGCGGUAAGACGUAGGGGGCCAGCGUUGUUCGGAAUUACUGGGUGUAAAGGGUUCGUAGGCGGUGUGGCAAGUUGGGAGUGAAAUCUCUGGGCUCAACCCAGAGGCUGCUUCCAAAACUGCUGUGCUUGAGUGUGGGAGAGGCGCGUGGAAUUGCAGGUGUAGCGGUGAAAUGCGUAGAUAUCUGCAGGAACACCCGUGGCGAAAGCGGCGCGCUGGACCACUACUGACGCUAAGGAACGAAAGCUAGGGGAGCAAACAGGAUUAGAUACCCUGGUAGUCCUAGCCCUAAACGAUCAGGACUUGGGGUGCCGCCCGUUCGGGCGUCGUCCCGGAGCUAACGCGUUAAGUCCUGCACCUGGGGAGUACGGUCGCAAGACUGAAACUC
This 826-nucleotide ribosomal RNA is filed under the name uncultured Pseudomonadota bacterium. RNAcentral describes it as "bacterial SSU rRNA". It matches the Rfam family "Bacterial small subunit ribosomal RNA", at positions 73 to 902 of the family's 1533-position model. The record is from RNAcentral. Lineage: Bacteria; Pseudomonadati; Pseudomonadota.